AGAGUUUGAUCCUGGCUCAGAACGAACGCCGGCGGCGUGCUUAACACAUGCAAGUCGAAACGCGAAAAGUUUCUCCGGAAAGACGAGUAGAGUGGCGCACGGGUGAGUAACGCGUAAGUAAUCUACCCCGGCAUCUGGAAUAACUCACCGAAAGGUGUGCUAAUACCGGAUACGUUGGUGACAAGAAAGGUGGCCUCUGCAUAUGCUACCGUGCUGGGAUGAGCUUGCGUACCAUUAGCUAGUUGGUAGGGUAAAGGCCUACCAAGGCGACGGAUGGUUAGCGGGUCUGAGAGGAUGAUCCGCCACACUGGAACUGGAACACGGACCAGACUCCUACGGGAGGCAGCAGUGAGGAAUAUUGCGCAAUGGGGGCAACCCUGACGCAGCGACGCCGCGUGGAUGAUGAAGGCCUUCGGGUCGUAAAGCUCUGUCAGUAGGGAAGAAGUGUAAGGGUGCUAAUACCAUCUUUACUUGACGGUACCUACAAAGGAAGCACCGGCUAACUCCGUGCCAGCCGCCGCGGUAAUA
RNAcentral lists this ribosomal RNA (528 nucleotides) under bacterium enrichment culture clone Cont28_3130. Its description in RNAcentral is "bacterial SSU rRNA". It matches the Rfam family "Bacterial small subunit ribosomal RNA", at positions 8 to 525 of the family's 1533-position model. The record is from RNAcentral.